RNAcentral lists this long non-coding RNA (19930 nucleotides) under Setaria italica (foxtail millet). RNAcentral describes it as "long non-coding RNA (SITA_LNC005235)". Lineage: Eukaryota; Viridiplantae; Streptophyta; Magnoliopsida; Poales; Poaceae. The record is from RNAcentral.
UCAACUGCAUGCUACAAGAUUGCUCGAUAGCUACGCGCUAGCUAGCGAGACGCGUGGGAUAGAUGGCUCCUCGUACGCCCGACGCCCGGCCCGUCAGAAGAUUCAGACGUCGACGGUGCAGUCGGCGGGGUGGGUGAACUUGAGGGAGACGGUGGUGUUGACGCCGGCGGGGACGGCGGCGCCGCUGACGGCGAACGCCCCUCCCACGGCGGCGCCCGAGGUGGCGAGCAGGGCGGGGCAGUUGACGAAGAGGUGGUACCCGCCGGAGACCCAGCUCCCGACCUUCCACUUGACGCGGCCUUCCAGCUUGACGUGGAGGAGCACGUACCCGGCCGAGAUGUCCUGCCUCAUGGCGUCCGCCACGUACUGCGACACGGGGACGGCGUCCCCGGACAUGACGGGGGACCACACCGACGCGUCCUUGUGGCCCUGGUAGAUCGACGGCAGCGACACGGGCACCGUCACCGGCUCGUCCCGGUACGUCGUGAACGCGUCCAGGGUCUUGUAGUACACGCCCACGCGCUCGUUCGGGUUCCGCGACGCGAUCGUCACCUGCGGCCAUUGCCAACAACAGCAAGGUUUUUCGUCGGCAUCGUCCAUGUAGCUAGCUGCAGAGCUCAACGUUCCCCGAAUGUGCGAGUAUGCAUACACGUUACCUGGAGGUUGAGGGAGAUGGCCGGGUCGCUGAGGUCGAUGGAGCGGAGCUGCACGUCCUGGAGGUAGAAGGAGGGCUUGGAAGGGUGGAGCGCGAGGUAGAUGACGAGGACGAUGAAGCCGACGACGGCGGCGAGCGUGAGGAAGCAGGCGCAGAUGGAGCCGCAGCAGCGACGGAGGAUCCAGUCGCGGUGGUGCUUCUCCUUGCUCAUGGCGACCUGCUGCGGAGUGCCGAUCGACUGGGUUCAGCUCAGCUCAGUGCUGGUCUGAAGGGAAACCGAGACUGAUGGCAGAGCUCUCGCGGCUCUGCUCAGCAGCUCGCUGGAUAAGCUAGGAGGACUGUGCGCGCAUGUGGGCAGUGGGAGGCUAAAGUGGUGGCGCGAGUGUGGGUGGCCUUUUAAUUACUCCAACAACUCGACUAAACUAGAGGCGGUGCGGUGUGUUUUUUUUAUUUUUAAAAAGGGCUCUUGUUUUGGGAUGGAGGCGAGGAAAGGUACAGCACACCUCACGAAGAUUCUUCGGUUUCUUCCCGGGCCCCCCGGAGCAUGGAGGUUGCCUAUCAGUUGUGAGCUAGUGCAUGUGCAUCUGAUUUGAGAUUCGCGGCCGAAGAACGAGUAUUACCUACUACUGAAUACCGAUGAGCUCGCUGGUGCUUGAGGUUCACUCCAUCUCAGCUGGUCAACUGGGGACGCUUCUUGGCCUUCUGGCAUGUGCACGUUGAGACUACCAGCAGCUGACUCUCAGCCGAAUAUUCUUUCUGCCAUUGACCUGUGCCGCCGAGGAAUCGAAAUGUUUCAUAUAGGUGACUACACGCUUUGCUAAAAAAGAACUCUGCUAAAGAAGAAGAAGAAUUACUGCAGCUUGUGAUUCUUCUACGGUUGACCGGCCGGUCCCAACGGAUGAACCCCAAAUGUGUGGUGUUCCAUGUUCGCGACUAGUUCGUGAGGCCGCACGAGCGCGUACGCGCGAGAGAUUUCGCUCUGGAUCUGCUCGUCCCGUUUUCUCCCAUCCCAGCGCAGCGCUACGGCCUAGGGCAGCGGCGGCGCACGGCGAUCCCGAGGGUCGUCGGCGCACACGCUGCCUCGUGCGCCCCCGGCCACGCGCGCCGAUCGAUCGAUCUAUCCACCGACCGGCACCGGCCCGUGCCGGGGAGAGCCGGCCGGAGUGGGGAGGGUUGGUGGUGCGUAGCACGCAAGCUUGCGUGCGCCGUCGACGGUUGCGACGUCGUGUCACGGCCACGCGCGCGGCUGGGCCAUGCCAAGAGACGGCCGGCCCCCAGAGCAUCAUCUCAUCAGCAGCGCUGAAGGAACAAAACAGGGGCGCGCGCACGCACGACGACGCCCGCGAAGGGUGCGUUCGGCCGGUGUGCCCUCCGUUCCUUAUCUCGUGGAUCUCCACCCCCACCGCCCCGUGCCCUAUGGCACCGCCUGUUUCAGCGCGCCACCAUGCCAGCCUGUCCUCCAACUAAUCACACCAUUUGAUCUGCCUCCCGCGAGCUAAUCAGGAACACCAACCAUUUGUAAUUAAGCUUUGGUUUCCAUCAGAUCGAGCGAGAAUAUAUCGAUUCAGAGUAAGGCUGCUUGCUGUCUUUCCCCUGAAUGAAUGUAUGUUAGCUCGGAGGCUCGAGUGAACGAUGCUAAGCUUUGGGGAACGAAAGGAAAGGGAGCAUGGAUUUAUUGUAUAUCCUUACUGUUGGAUAGCGCCGUGUUAUUUUACCAAAAGCUUUAGGAUCAAAAGCUUGCACACACACAAGGUUGCGGAAAGGGGCUUUUGGAUCAUUUCAUUUUCUUCCAUUCCUACGUAGUCGUUAAAAGUGCCCGUGAGUCAGCGUGACUUGAAAAAGGCCGUCUCUUUUGCCAUAAAAGAAGAAGAAAGAGAGGAUCUGAUGGGUAAAUCCGCGCCGAAAAAAAAAUCCGAGAAAUUACCUUUUAUCUCUCCCACAAGAGUGGGGGGCAAAAAGGCACAUAAAGGAGGCAGCCUCGCAAAGUCAUUGCGCAAGGGUGGACGCUCUUCGUCUUUAAACUGACUUAGCCUGGAAGUAAGACGAGCUGCAAACUGUAACUGGAGAGUUGAAACCACGCCGCACUGUACCAUUUCCAUUCAGUCCCCCUCCCCCCACCAAAAAAAAAAAAAUCAAGAAAAACAGGAUGCUUCAUGUAUACAUACGCCUAGUGGCACAUGCUACCUACCGUACCUCCAGGCCCAUCGCAUGAAUAUUGAAUACAUUACAUUCAGGACCAUCAGAGUUUGGAAGUACAGAGCAGAGCAAUUCCUGCUACCCUGCAUAUGCGUAGCUUAAUCGCACACCUGUUUUGGCUGCGCAUAGAGCGAUUAAGCGAAUUGCAGGCAAGUGCGCCCUCUGUGAUGGAGUACGCCACCUACCGUCCGAUCUUCUCUUGUUCUGUUUGGUGAACGGAGCUAGCGUUGCCGGGCCAAGAAUCUCUCUGACUGACUCAGGGAUGGAGUGUGUGUGCCAUUUUACGGUUGGUAGAGGGGAAAGCGUAUAGAAUUAUUUGGGUCGUCCAGGGUUGGUUGGUGCUGCAAAGGGUAUAGAAUUAUUUGAUGGACCUGCUUGUUCAUUGUUGAGGCCCUUUCCGCGCUCCAUUAUCUUGCAUCGGGAAGGUGAGUGAGGUCGGGCCACAAUAUGUGUUGUAGACUAAUCAUUCAGUUCUGGACCAGUUAGUUGGAUUAGAGACUCUUCUAUCUGUGAACUGUGCUCUUCUUUCGUGGCGGGCAGGGAUUUCCUUCCUUCCUUCCUUUCUUUUUUAUUUUAAGAGGACGGGUGGGCAGGAAGCGAUGUCCAAGGCUCAGGAAAGCCCAUGUCGUUCACACUGUUCGUUGGUCGUCGGUCCACUGGGUCACUCAAGAUUUGUGUGAGUAAGGUGGUCUCAAACUGGUGUGAUCUGCAAGAGUCAGAAAUGAAGCCCAUGUUGAGCGCGCUGCAGAUAAUGUUUUCGAAAUUUUGAGUCCUUUUAAAUCUAAAUAUUUUUUUUAUAGCACCUUCAAAUAAGUGACUCAAGAUACCUACCAAUCACAGCAGGAAUGAGAAAAAGGAUGACCCAUAAAGAAGAAAAAGAUGUGCUUUUUUUCCCUCUAAAAUAAAGUAGUAAAAUGAAAGCCAAUCUAGAAACAUCUACAAAUUUUUCCUCACAAAGGAAAUAAAAAAGAAAGUGCUUUUCACACCCAAGGCCCAAGCCACCGAGACAACAGGCAAGCCGCACAAACCUAGCCAGUCAGUAGGCGAGGCUCGGCCGUAUCCACGCAAGCAUAUUCCCCUCGUAACCCAGGGGCCCACGUCGACCAAGCACCGUGCCAAGUCACCAGCCACCACACACCACACGCCCUCCGUCCCUGACACCGGGCCCGGCCCGCCGGAGUCACACGAACCACGCCCGCGCGCUCUUCCCCGUCCGGUCCCCACCGCCGCCGUCGGCUUCGUCUUCCUUCCACACCACACCAAACCAUCCCUCUCCCGCCCAACUCACGCGCGGCUCGCUCCUCCUACGCGCUUCUAGAACCAAAACCCUAACCAAGCCUCAGCCGGUGCGCGUGCCCGCGUGCGUCGAGCCCGCAGCAGGCGAACAAUCAUGGGUAAGGAAGAGACGCCGCCGAUCGGCGGCGGCGGCGGCGCCGGCGGGGAUCGCGGCGCCUUCGCCUUCAUCUCCAAGGGGUGGCGCGAGGUGCGGGACUCGGCGACCGCGGACCUGCGGCUCAUGCGCGCGCGCGCCGACCGCGAGCUCGAGCACCUCCUCGCGUCGGCGUCGGCGCUCGCGGGGCCCGCGCCCCCGCUGCCGCCCGUCGCGGCGGGGGCGCCCAUCGCGGAGGUCGAGUUCGUGCGGAAGCGGAUCCAGCCGAAGAUCCAGGAGCUCCGGAGGCAGUACUCGUCGCGGGCGCCCGACGGCGGCGGGUGGCCGCCCGGCGCCAGCAGCCUCCGCGUCGACCUCUCCGCGAUUACGGCCAUCCGCAACGCCAUUGUGGCCGAGGGGGACGGCGCCGAGGGGUGGACGCUCGCGCGGCGGAAGGGGGAACGGAGCGAGGAGGGGAGGAAGGAGUGGGAGGUGGUGAGGAUGAUACGGAGCGGGCUCAAGGAGUUCGAGCGCCGGAGCCUGUCGAGCGACAUGUUUGCUGGAUUACAUGGCCGCGGCGAGUUCGUGGAGAAAUUUAAGUUGAGAUUGGUAAGUUUGAACCACUGCAUUUGAUAUGAUGGCAUACUCAUGGUACUUGUUUAGGAUUUAUACCACCUCUUUUGGAAAUUGAAAAUUAAAAUGAGGGUACCUUUAGCAACUGAAUGUCAUAACUCAUGUUAUUACUGACGAACAGCACUUCAGCAGCAAAGCUUUGGCGCCCGUAGCAAAAAUUCUAAGCAGCUUCUGUGUUAAUCCUUUGAUUUAGUUACGCCAAACAUUUCAAUAGUUGCGUACCUUUAGACAUCAACACACCGCUUAUGCUGGCAUUUGUUUUAGUAUUGUGAAGGUAAAUGUAUACUUAGUCAUCCUAAUAAAUAUAUUUAAAAAAUAAUACUGAAAAAUCAUCCUGGAUUACCUUAGCUUAACAGUCAUUUAAUAUGCCAACUCAACUUCUUAUACACCUAACUGUCAUGUAUUCUUGUUAGCAAUAAAUUAUUUGGUUAAUUUUUUGCAGCAAUUGGGUUAACAAAAGGAGAAAAAAAGCUGUCCAGUUAUUGAGCACGCUAUACAUGCUAGAACUGAUUGGUGUUAAUUAAAGUACUACUGCUUCAUGAUGCUCCUUUCCCUCUAUUGCAGAAAUCGCUGAACAAGGACUAUCAGGAAUCCAAGGUAAUUCCAUAGGAAACAAUGUAUAACAUCUGGAAAUGUUCAUGUGGUGCAGAUAGAGAACGGCUAAUGAUUUCUUUUGGAUACAUUUUCCUUGUUACUUAUUCUGAUGUAUUAGGAUCCGAUAUGCACAUUUGUAUACAAAUUUUACAAACUGCUAGGCUAUACUAGAUAUACCUUCAUUAGUCUGAGGAUAUAAUUUCCUUUUGAAUGGUAACCUGUUCCAGAAAAUAGUGAGGUCAGAGGAAGUAUUGACACUUACUAAGCAGGGUUGACCUAAAAUAACUUGCAAAUAUUUUUUCGAUUUAGAUGCCAAUGCAGCUAAUUACUGUUAUAAACAAUCCUUUAAAAUUCAUAGGCAGUGAAUUCUUUAUCUUUUUUCAGGGCAUGUAUCUUUUGAGCCUUUAAAUAAAAGCAGACUUUCUUAGUGAUUUUGAUUAUUAACUGAUAAUGCAAUUUGUGUUGCUAGUUGAUCUGAUUGCUUACUGUUGAGAGUGUGUUUUUCUAAAGUGGGUAUUGGAAUAUAAUGCAGGUAGUCCCACCACUGGAUCUAUCUGAAAUUCUGGCAUAUCUAGUCCGGCAAUCUGGUCCAUUUUUAGAUCAACUUGGCAUAAGAAGAGGUAUAAAACAUUAUUGUUAGUCUGCACCAUGUGGAGUCUUGGUGCCCGGCACUGACCAUUUUAGUCUUAAAAUGUUGUGCAGAUCUAUGUGACAAACUAGUGGAGAUGUUAUAUAGUAAACGAAAUGGUCGGCUCAUGUAUCAUUCCCUUUCAGAGGAUAGAACCUUAGCUGAGAACAUAAAUGAGGACCUUGAUCUAAGAAUAGCUAGGGUGUUAGAAAGUACUGGCUAUCAUGCAGAUGAAGGUUUUUGGAAUGACCCUGCAAAAUACAAGAUCUCAGACAACAGACGGCAUGUUGCUAUUGUCACCACAGCAAGUCUUCCAUGGAUGACAGGGACAGCAAUCAAUCCAUUGUUUCGUGCUGCAUAUCUGGCAAGAAGUGCAAAGCAAAAAGUGACGCUGGUGGUUCCUUGGCUCUGUAAGUCAGACCAAGAAUUGGUUUAUCCAAAUAACAUCACCUUCAGUUCUCCAGAAGAGCAAGAAAUUUACAUAAGGAACUGGCUGCAGGAAAGAGUUGGCUUUGAAGCUGAUUUUAAGAUAUCCUUCUAUCCUAGCAAGGUAAACACCCAAUCUUUGUGCCCCUGUUGUUUAUAUCCUGAGUCCUAGACUCCUAGUACCUGCUUCCCCUGGGAUUUUCAUAAUUCAUGACAUGUAAUUUUUACAGUUUUCAAAAGAGCGCCGCAGCAUUAUUCCUGCUGGGGAUACUUCCCAGUUUAUCUCAUCAAAAGAAGCAGACAUAGCAAUUUUAGAAGAACCUGAGCAUCUCAACUGGUAUCAUCAUGGAAAGCGUUGGACUGACAAGUUCAAUCAUGUCAUCGGCGUAGUUCAUACAAAUUACUUGGAAUAUAUCAAGAGAGAGAAAAAUGGUGCUAUUCAAUCUUUCCUUGUUAAGCAUAUCAACAACUGGGUGACUAGGGCAUACUGCCACAAGGUAUUGUGUUUAGGUCAGAUUUUGUGUUAAAGUCCUGUUGGUUAGAGUUCAGCUAAUAAUGGGUGCAUGCAGGUUUUACGUCUUUCUGCUGCAACUCAAGAUCUACCAAGGUCUGUUGUUUGUAACGUACAUGGUGUAAAUCCAAAGUUUCUCAAUAUCGGUGAGAAAAUAGCAGCUGAUAGGGAGCGUGGACAGAAGGUCUUCUUUAAGGGAGCAUAUUUUCUUGGGAAGAUGGUGUGGGCUAAAGGCUAUAGAGAACUAAUAGAUUUAUUGUCAAAACACAAAAAAGAUCUGGAAGGCUUCAAGAUAGAUGUAUAUGGAAAUGGUGAAGACUCUGAAGCGGUUCAGACUGCUGCUAGAAAAUUUGAUUUGAGCAUCAAUUUUUUCAAGGGAAAGGACCAUGCAGACAAUUCACUCCACGGGUGAGGUUCUAGGAAGCUGCUAAAAGGAAUUCACUUUCAUCUGUGUCCUGUCCUAUGCAGAUUGCUGAUACAGUUAUCUGUUUUCGUCUGUUAAAUUUUCAGGUAUAAGGUUUUCAUCAAUCCAAGUGUUAGUGAUGUGCUAUGCACAGCAACAGCUGAGGCUCUUGCUAUGGGGAAGUUUGUAGUCUGUGCAGAUCAUCCAUCAAACGAUUUUUUCAAGUCAUUCCCCAACUGCUUAACAUAUAAAACUUCAGAGGAAUUUGUUGCUCGUGUCAAAGAGGCUAUGGUUAGUGAACCACAACCUCUGACCCCAGAGCAACGGUACAGUUUAUCAUGGGAGGCGGCGACUGAGAGGUUUAUGGAGUACUCAGAGCUGGACAAAGUUCUGAACAAUACAAAUGGUCACCCUGGACGAGGUGGGAAGAUAAAUAAAUUGAGAAAGAUACCUUUACUUCCUAAGCUGUCAGAUGUGGUGGAUGGGGGACUAGCAUUUGCUCAUCACUGCCUGACUGGCAACGAAAUCCUCAGAUUGGCGACAGGAGCGAUUCCUGGCACACGUGACUAUGAUAAACAACAGUGCAUGGAUUUGAAUCUCCUGCCUCCUCAAGUUCAGCACCCUGUAUAUGGCUGGUGAUGUGUACCAGCUUGCAUUUAACUAAUGUAUAGUUGAAGUAUGUUUCUCCGUAGGUAUGUGCACAUUAAGCGAUCCAGUUCCCAUGUAUUGACCGGAGCAUGAAUGAACUUGUGUAGAGUCUUGAUAAUUGGUAGGGUCCAUGGGAACGAGAUCCUCUGCCGUUGCGUUCUCAUCGGCAAAGGGACGUUCGGCUAAUCUGGAACGUGCGACAGGCCUCCGAUGACACACAUACAUAAAAAAGUCCAUGACCAUGCGGCCCAUUUAUCAGCUCAAUAUCAUCAGCAACUAAACAACCCAGUUGCCUAGCGCCGGCAGCGGGCAUCUCGCCGCCGCCGGCACCGCGCCGCCAUCAAUGCCGUUGGGUGCUGCAGCUCUCUCAUCGCCGUCCAACACCGACGGGUGCCCCACCUUGCUCUUCACCGCCCACCGACGCCGGGAUGCUAUGUCAUGCUCGUCCCUAUCACCUCGGCCAUCGCGGAGUGGUUCUAACCGGUCGCCGUCACCGUCGCCGAGGGGUUAGGCCACGGUUGGGGUUGGGACUGGCAAGGGGUUUUGCGCGCCCAGGGGCAGCACUGCCAUGGGGAGGGCCACCGGUGCUGCCAAGCCGGAACCACCACGGAGAAAGAGUGAUCACUACAUAGGAGGGCAACUGGGCAAAAGGCAGCAAGUUGGGAAGACGAACUUCAGAUAGUAGCACAUGUGUUUGGCAAUUUAGGAUGGCAAAUUGAAAAUGUGACGAGCAAUAUUACCAUUAGCAUUUGAGUGAAGCUAAGUUCACCCCUGGAAUCUUUAUAAUCAGUGCCAUUUGCAACUAGUGCUUGAGCUUGUGCUUGUGCUGGUGCUUCACCUCUUCCUGCCUCUUCCCCACCCUCCUGUAUCAAAAUUGGAGGGCUUUGAGAAAUAAUGGACAUAAUGGUAACACUACAAACAAAAUUGUGCAGAUCAUACCACUAAAAUAUUUCGCAUCUGUGCAUGAGCAGCAUCAUUAUUUGCCUCUUUCCCAAACUGUGAUGAAGCUUUGUUUUCUCUCUUUUUUCUAAACUUGUGCUUCGUAUCAAGCCAAGUUUUUCUUCACUUUGAAGUUUUUUGUUUGGACCUUCUUUUUCUUUAGGCGUGCAUUACUCAACACAUCAUUUGGUGGAGUAGAAUUUGUGGGAAGUACAGAUGGACUCACAGAAGUGCUUGGAUAUGCAAUGAUCAUCUCUUCAAUUUGUUUACAAAGGAUGUCAAGUGUGAUAUCCACUAACUUGGUGCAUUGAGGAAAGUUGGCUGCUUGAUAUGCCAAAUUGAGAAAUUUGUUAGACAUAUAUCUGCAGUGAAGCAAAGCAUCCAUAUUUGGAUUUUCGAUUAUAUUUCUUCCCUACUUGUCUUGUAUAGUUCCACUCCGUGCUUCUCGUGUCCAUCGCUUUAACACGUAUUGUGGUGGCAAUAACUUAAUACUUAUCAAAUCAAGAACUUUAAGAGCAUGAUGUAAUCUUCCCAUUGGAUUGUCUUUGUUUGUGUACCGUUUUUUGACCUCAAAGCCUUUCUGUCCACCAUAACUAAGCCAAAAUGCCCAAGCCUCAUCCAAAUUUCUAAAUUCCAUGCCAACAUGAGGUACAAAGCUAAGCAGCAUAGCUCCGCAAUGGAAAAAAAUAAUAUGAGCAGGGGAUGCAAUUUCAGAGAACAAGUAAGGAGUAGCAAUACAUGGGAUUGGAAUUUGGGACAACUAAAACCAAUUUGAAGUCACAUAGAAAAUAACAAAGUGGGGUUAUAUUACUUACGUAUUGAAAGCAUGAUGCUCUUUGUUAGCCUCUUCUUCCAUAUCAAUGCUACGUAAUACAGAAUCAACCAGCUGCUUCUUUAAUGAGAAAAGAGAAAGUUUGAUUGCUUCAAGCAAUCUGAUGAUAGAACUUCUAUCAGUCUCAGUGAUCCUUUCAUGUUCAAGAGAUGGCAGGAGAAGGUGGAUUAAUACUUACGUACAAGAUUGAAGAGCACAGCAGCUCUUCCAUCCGGCAGCUGCUUCUCUCCUCCUCGCGCCCGUUCUCGUCAGCCUCGCACCCUUUUCUGUUGGCCUCACGCCGUUUUUCCUCCUACACUUGCGUCCAGACUGGGCCGCAUUGUGCUCCUGGGCCAAGGGAUCCAUUCUGUUUCUUCUAUUGUUGCUUCUUGCCAUCGGAUGCUCAAUCAAAGUUCCGGAGCUGCCGAACGUCCUCUGCCGAUGAGAACGAAAGUUAGAGGAUCUCGUUCCAGUCCACGAGGAAUUUGUUGUGUUGUUUUGUACUCUGUGGUCUUUGCCUGUAAUUAUGUUACCUUUUACUCCUGGAAUAGGUUAGUUCGUGCAUACAAAGUGUUAUGUAGUUCCCAUACUAAUCAAUGCCUGCACUUUGAUUGAAUCUUGUUAAGGCUGUAAGCCUGUUAGGAAUGUGGCUUAUUUUUUUUCUCCUGUGUGGCUACCUGAAGCAAAAAUGGUUAAAAUAAAUAUUCAGUAAAGAAGAAAAGUAGACAAUAUUUAUCUUAAUAUUUCUUCUGAGUACCUUUCGUUUCUUUACAAACAUAGGGUGCAAUGAAAAUUUUUGAAUUCAUUCUAGCAAGAAAGUUGAACCACAAUUUCAUUACUUGUUAUAUACUCUGGUUAUUUUAUUGCAUCACUCUUUUCUUUAAUGUUGUUGCCUGUGAUGAGAUGGAACUUAUUGUACUAUAUGCGAUGAGAUAAUGUUUAAUCUAUUAUUUGUGGGCUGAAAUUUCUUAAUAUUAAUUCUGAGCUGUAAUUGUUCCUGUUAAUUGGGCUGGAAUUGCUUAGGCCCCGUUUGGAUCAUUGGAAUUGAAUUCCAUCCUAAUAAUCAUAAUUUAGAUACAAAUUAAUUAAGCUAAUAUAAUUGUAUGUGGAAUAUAGUUGUAUAUUAUAGUUGGUGAUAUGGGAGAGAUACUUGUAUGCUGCACUUUUACUAUAGAGAAGCGAGUCUAAGAGCGUGCUAUAAGAAUUGAAUUCCAUCUAAUAACCAUAAUCUAUAGAAUCAAUUUCCAUCUCCCACCCCAUGAAUUUAAGAUAGGCUUAUAUCUAAACUUUGGAAAGUUGUGGAAUGCCACAUUCCAACAUAAAUUAGCCUACUCCAUUAAAUAGAUUCCAAUUCCUUGGACCCAAACGGGGCCUUAUUGUUGGACCAAUUGGGUUAGAAAAAUGAUUAAAAUUUGGUGGAUCGAUUUUAUCAACAUGAACUGUGUACCUUAAAUUUGAUUGGCCGAAAUUAUUGGGCCCACUUAUCAAACAAGCCUGUUACCAAAUGUGUCAGCAGCCACAUCAUCGGCCACAUCACCAUUAUUAGCCACGUCAUCAUCGAUGUCAGCUGCCAUGUCAUCACCCACGUCAUUGUCCACGCCAUCAUCAUCAUCCAUGUCAGCAGCCAUGUCAUCAUCCAUCUCAGCGGCCAUGUCACAUGGCUAUACAAUCUAUGAUGAUUUCUAUGACGUUUAUUUUCGUCACUAAAGUUGGGCUUAGGUUGAGCUAAGCGGGCUUGAGGCUAUUUUGUGACGAAUUAGAAACGUCAUGGAUUGUUUCGAUCUGUGACGAUUACGCUAAAAACGUCACGAGGCGUAAUUUGUGACGCUUAAUACAUGACGAUAUGCGAAAUCGUCACAUACACUGCUUUAUGACGGUUUGUCAGCGAUCUGUGAUGAAAUUUUUCCGUCAUAGAUUAACAGGUUUCUUGUAGUGUACGGUGCAAUGAAAACAAUUUGAAUUCAUUCUGUUCUUUACUAGAUAUGCAAUGCCAUGCAAGAUUUGUUAUGCUUUGAGAAUUUCAUACAUCUGUUACUUCAACGUCACAACUUGGGCACGGAUUUUCGAGAAGGACACCGUGGAAUUAUGUUUCUUGGCUCAGUGUUUUCUUUAGUUCUACUAUAUUUACAAGAUAUUUACAUUAUUGAGAGGUAGUACAUUCUCCCUCCCUGAUAUUUACAAGAAGUUUAUAUUUAUUUUUGUCUGUACAACUGUGCGGAAGCAACAUUUAUCAUCACAAUUCAGCAUCAUAAUUACUUUUAUAAAUCAAAUAAUUAAUCACUUGCUUUAUGCACAAUAUAGUAUUGUAUCAUCAGAUGCUCCUGAGAUGUGGAUAGUAUCUACAUACGAAAUGCAGAGCACCAACUAGCCAAGUCCCGCUGCCUCUCCACUAUCUACAAUGAUAACCACAUCCUUCUGGUCAGUGUUCUCAGGGCUUUUGAAGCCGGCAACUUGCGCUAGGUUACCAACAGAUUCUGUGAUCUUCUUUGUCUGAGAAACCACUUCUGCGAGGAGAGAUGCAAUGACAGCAACAUGCAUCACUUUGGCCAGAUCCUCGUCCUGCGACAAUUCGGCCUUGAGGCCUUUCGCCGCUCUGAUCGCUGCAGUCAUGUGAGUCAUGGCCGGGGAUGGCACAGUCAUCGCCUGAAUCGCCGCUGAGAGCGCCCGGAGCGCCUUGGCCGAGUGCAAGCUCAUCUCACCGCAUGCUGUUCGAACCUUCGAGCAUAGCUCCAAAUUCGUUUCAGGAUACUGUGAGCAGGAAAAGGAUGAUGCUAGUGAUCAGUAAACAUGGUUCUGUAAUCCUUUAAUUUUGAUCUAUAGCGAAAUGGCUGGAUUUGCAAUUACCUGAGCUUUUGUGAGUGUGAUGAUGUAGGAAGCAAGAGUCUGCAUUGAGGAAGCGCACUGGCGAGCAACGGCGCCGAUGUUCUGGUAUUGGCCCCAUGGGUACCGGAAGUAGAAGUUGCCAUGACCUGGCUCCCACUUGGCAAAAUUUGCCUGCGGUUUUGGAAGAAUAGAAGCCAUGCAUUAUAACGGAUCGUCCCAGUUUCUGGAUACAGGAGCUUUAUUGCUGCUCAACAUCAAAGUGCAUUGCUGCUUACCAAAGAGUCCUCGGUGGCCUUGCAGUCGAGGACGCUCUUGUACACUUGGAGGAACGGUUUGCUUUCCAAAUCCUCGCCGGGAGCGUUCUCCCCGAAGCAUUCGGACUCCAGUCCUGCACACACAAAUACAUGUAUAUAUACAAUUUAGUUUAUCUUUGACAUGGGAAUCCGAUCCGAUUCGUUGUACAUAUUCCAAGGAUCGAGUGGGAUGGAUGGUGCUACGUACCCUCAAGGAACUCGGCGAGCUUGCCGAGGUUGUCGGCGGCGAGGUUGUGGAGGUUCUCGCCGGCCCAGACCGGGCAGACGAACAUGGUGGUGAAGAGGCAGGUGGCGACGCCGACGAAGAUGGUGGAGGAGCGCUGGUGCGCGAGGCGGAUGAGCUCCUCCACCCGGUAGCUCGACACCGCCACCAGGCUGAAGGUCAGGAUGAAGAUGGUCACGCCGUAGUCGUACCGCGCCUUCACCGCCGGGAUGAACCGUGUGAACGUCGCCGCCGUCGCUGCGAGAGAGAGAACGAAUUAAUUAAAUUAAAGCACUUACUGAUCGUGACAUGUCGAUCUCGUCAUGAAAGUAACUAAGCGUACCGGCCGUACACGGCUAAGAAGCUAGCCUGCGUGCCUGGCUUUCUCUUUACACAGACAAGCAGCUAGCUAGACAAGGAAUCAGCCUGCAUGGGUAUAGAAGGUAUAGUAGGUACUGUACCUAUGAGGAAGACGAAGGUUGCGAGUAUGAUGGGCUCCCCUUUGCUGCCUCCCAGGUUGGCCACCUUGUGAGCCCCGACGGCGAUGAACCCGGCGACCAGCGUCCCCGUCGCCCUGUUCAGGCCUUUGAUCAGCGUCCCACCUGCCAACACACACACACGCACCCGUUAAUAAGCCAUUAAUUAAACUAUACGGGUGCAUGGCGCCACGCGUCCACGCGUGACGUUGCAUGCGUCUCGUACGUCAUCAAUCUCUGCAACUAACUGCGAUGCACGGUGGCGUACAGGCUUACCGACGGUGUACUCCAUGACGACGGCGACGGUGAGUACGGCCCAGAGGGUGGAGAGCCCCCAGUUGUUGAAGAUGGGGCGGACGUAGUAGAGCACGGACACCAGCGUGAGCGCCAGCCCGACCUUGAACGAGUGCACCACCCGCCGGGGAUCGUCCGUCGCGAUCUUGGCCAGCUUCUUGCCGAGCCCGGCGAGGGCUCCCCAGACCUUACCCAGCGCCGAGAGGAGCCCCUCCGCGCACCUCACCAGGAACUCGACGUAGCCGCCGGUGCCGCCGCCGCCGGACGUCACCACCUGAUGAACCUCCAUGGCAGGCAUGGCUGCCGUCUGCCGAUCGAGGUAGCUAGGGCCGUGCCGUGCGUGCACGAGACUGGCUCUGGUGGUGAAUGUGUGUGUGUGGUUUAUGAGCUACCAGGAGGGGCGGUGGGGGGUCCUUAUAUAAGCGGAGCCGAGGAGGAAGACACGCGAGGGCGGCGGCGGCGGCGGCUUGGGGAUAUAGUUAGUGGGAUACCGCGACGCGGCAGACAUUACACAGGAUAUAGUGGAAACAAAAGCAUAACCCCCUGCCGCGCAGGCCUUUUCGCUGUGAAUGCGACUCGCGAUACUGCUGGUGCUCUCGUGCUCUUUUCAACCGGUUCGUUGCUGGCUGCUGCCACUCUCUCGGUCUCGCCUUUUCUUGCUCGAGGACUAUGGAGAGCACCAAGUCGGCCGAAUAGGCCGCCAGUGAUGUACAGAGAUGUGUGCAGCUUAUGAACGCCAUCCGUUUUGGCCACUGCUACCUUCUGCUGGUUUGUGCUGUGACGAGGACGUCGCCGGGGUGAUCGUGUCGCACGCUCGCAACACUUGACAGGCGGCGGUCUUUUGCAAACCAGUAGUUUAUAACAAUAUAAUCUCUGCCUUUUGACCUGUAAUGUUUGCACUUGGGAUACUGUCGGACGAGGUAAACUUCUCAUCGUGAUCUUGGCCUUUGCUUCAGCGGCACGCAUCCUCAAGCGCAGGCAGGACUGCACCUAUACACGAUGACUCAUGCAUGAUCUGCAGACGACACGCGACAUCACACACUCUGACUUUGGACGUACGGACCGACAAAGGCGAGCGGCGCUAGUGCUUUUCUUGGUUUUAAAAAUGCCGGCUUAUAAGCCAUUCGUGCUAUGUAAAGCACCGUAUACUAACUCGGUGGCAACAUUUUAAAAAAAGGCCAAAGAGGACGUGAGGUGUUGGCCUGAUGUAUCCAUGUCCCUAUACAGCUACUUGCUAUCGAGACGUGGCAUGGCUUAUCAGUCUACUACAUAGUAUACUCUUUUUUUUUGGCCUGCAGGGAUUUAGGUAGGCCUUAUCACAUUGAAUAAUCCCAACAAAUAAAUCCCCAGUCCAAGCACGCGCUUCCAUAACAUCCUACGAGACCCAGGGCCUAUCAACUAGCUUUGUUUGGUGCAUUUCGAUGAAAUAUAAUCUGUCACCAGCAGAUCAUGAUGUGUGCUGUCGCAGAGGCUACAGAUUAUUUUUUUUUAGAAAAAAAAAUCUGCAGACCAUCCUUCGCGAGAAACUCUAAGCUAUUUUCUCCACCGUUGAGCGGCCGACCGCCACCACCACUGUGUUCUUUUGCAUCGAGUACGUUUACGUGUUCCCUUGCGUCUCUUGCAGGCACACUUGGGCAACCUGUCGCAGUCCAGGUGUAGACACUGACCCACACAGGGUCCAACGUACGCGAUGGCGACUUGUUCUUUGUGUCUGUCACCGUCGUCUCUCCGGUCCAUCACUGUACAGCUCAUAGAGCAGUAAAAACAGAAUACUGGACACUAUCUGAAUAAUGCAAUACAGCGGGUUGCAUCCAUUCAGCUGUCUCUAGCUUUCCUAGUGUAGCAGGAACAUCGCUCCAACUCCAAUCGAGCCGGGUUACGAUGUUGCCGGAAAUAAAGCGCAAAAACCUUUACGAUUGACAAUUUUUUUUUGAAAAGUGACGAUUGACAAUUGAUAUGGUCUAUCUGUUCAUAUGUGCGCAUGUAACAGCUGCCAUGCACACACAACAAGCGAGCACCACAAGUCCGAAGCUUGCUGCCGAUCGAGCGGUUCAGGAAGCAGCGAAGCUUUUGCUCUCUCCGUUGGCUUCACCUCUCGUGUCUCCUCGGAUAUAUUCUCCUUAUCCUGGUGGGAAAUGGGAUAACCGUCGUUUCGACCUCACGUCCGCGCAAUCUUUCAGUACGAGGGACCGAGUUCGUAGCAGCGGCAUCGAUCCGGAGAACAAGCAGAUAGGGAGAGCAUCAGCAUAGCCAAGAACAUGGCAGCAGAAUCCAAGAAUAUGUGCUUCUAUUAUGCUCUCAGGGUAGCAUUGCGUUGCAUGCCGUCCUGUGUCGCCUCCAAUCGAGGAUCCUAGAAGAAAUCUCACCAGUGGAUGGGCUACGUCUAAAAGCAAAAUCAUUACCACAUUGCGUAUUCACCGUUCACUCUUCCAAUUCUUCAUCCCAAGAUUCCAGCUAGUGUAGAUCGCCGAGAAAGUGGCAGCAGAUAGCUGAGAUGCGCACCGAUCGGCAUCUGCGAAGCAACUUUUCUGCUGCGCAUGUGCAUGGGCAGCUAAGCUGCAUGCUAAACCCUAGCUAGCGUGUAGCGUCCUUCCUCAAUAUGCGAUGGUGGAAACAAGCACGGAAAACGACCGUAGUGGAGUGGCCUUUUGGUGCAGAAAAGAAGCCUUCUGGACGCUGCUAGUGCUCUUCUCUGACUUCACCUCGGGAUUGUUGUUGUUGGUUGGACUAUGAUCAUGCCGGUCAUGGCGUGUGCCGUGUGCGACCGACUGUACACGCUCUGUCCUUUGACUGAGCUCGGCCUUUUUCGUACUUGUAGGGGUGCGUCGUUUUCGCCAUAGAAUUCCUGUUCCAGUGACUUACCUUCCGACGUCUCUUUCUGCCUGCCAGUGCUCGCUCCAUCUCUCUGUAAAAAGCGGGAUCUGGGCCGGGGGGCUCUACACUCGUUUUUGCAUGUUGUCAAUUUCAACCGCCUGUAACUUUCGCGGCACAAUUUCGUCCGUUGCCUUUCAAACUAUGAGCACCUCAACUUUGUUUUGUAGGCUCCAUCUAGUCACUUUUCACUUGUCUAAUGUGGCUUCCAUGCAAGUAUACGAAGUCAGCUACGUUUUCUCUUCACCGCACCAGCAAUGCACAGUCUUAUCAAGCCCACAACAUAUAUAGCUGUAUCCAUAGUCACAAGCUAUGUUGACUUCCCACCUGAUUUGACUGGGCUGCUGCACUUUUAAUUGAUUUUAGCAUCCCCUUAUCACCGUCUCCUUAUCGUUGUAUCUCUUCUUAAUGCUUCCACCUAUGCAAAAACAUCGAGUCAUCCAAUCGCCGAGUACGACGGACUCUCAUUUUACAACCGAUUUCCCCACCCUAGCAAAACCCUAAUUAAAUAGGCAUGGGUUGCACCCGCCAUCGAGGCACUCAAGGGAAUGGAUGGAUAAGUUAAGAUUGCACACACAGUUUUGUUCAUUACCUUUCAAAACCGGCCAAUCGAUCUCGCAACUUUUGUUUGUAGGGCCAAUCUAGUCCCUUGAUGUAUGUGGCUUCCAUGUCAGUAUACCAAGUCAGCUAUGUUUUCUCUUCAUUGCAAUAGCAAUAUGCACACAUGCCAAGUGCAUGUAUCGAUAGUCCCAAUCUGUGUUUACUCCCCGCCUGCUAGGUCUAUAGGGCCGCUCUAGCAACUCCUUAUCAUCGUUCUGUUUAGGUUCCACACAUAUAUGACAAUAAUGUUGAUAGUUGCCCAACCGCUGAAUACGAAUAGCUGCCCCCCCCCCCCCCCCCCCCAUUGGGGGUAGGUUCCAGGAGUGGGUUGCAUUCAUCACGGGAGGGGCUCAAGGGAAUGGAUAGGCAUUAGAAUUUGCACACAAUUUCAUCUGUUACCUUUCAAAACGACCAAUUAAGUUCCUCAACUUUUGUUCGGAAGUUCAAUCUCAUCUCAUGUUAUACGAUGGCUUUAUGCAAGUAUAGACAACUACAAAUUCUCUUCACCACACCAGCCAUAUGCACACAUGGCAAACGAACAACAUAUAUAGCUGUAUCGAUUGUCCCAAGUUAUGUUGACUUCUCGUACAUUCGGUCUCUAGGGCCGCUCAACUUUUCAUUGAUUUUAGUAGUCUCGUAUCAUCAUCUCCUUAUCAUAGUCCCUCAUUUGGCUCCACCUAUGGCAACAACGUCGAACGUCACCCAACCAUCGAAUACGACAUGCUCUCCUUUUAUAGCUGAUUUUCCCACCUUGGUAGCAAACCUUAGGAGCGGGGUACGGCCCACAAUGAGAGAGACUCAAGGGAAUAGAUGGGUUAAUUAGUUAGGAUUGCAUGUAAUCAUCAAAUACCUUUCAAAAUUUGCCAAUUGUGUCCCUCAACUUUUUUCUAGGAGCAACCUAGUAGUCUCUUGUCGUAUGUGGCUUCCAUGCAAGUAUACCAAGUCAGCUACAAUUUCUCUUCAUCGCACUAGCAGCCAAAUGCACGCAUGCAAAGAUCACAACAUCUAUAGUUGCAUCGAUAGUCCCAAGCUAUAUUGACUUCUUCCCACCCGCUCGGUCUCUACGGUCGCUCCACUUUUGAUUGGUUUUAGCAGCCCCUUAUCAUGUCUCCAUAUAUAUUGUCAUCUCUCUUUUGGUUCCACCUAUGGUAGAAACGUAGAGUCACCCAACCACCAAAUAUGACAAGAUCCGACUCUACCACCAAAUAUGACAAGAUCUCCUUUUUAUAGCUGAUUUCCCCACCUUGGCAGCAACCCCUAGGAGUAGGUUGCACCCGCCAUUGGAGGGGCUCAAAAGGAAUGGAUGUGUCAGUUAGGAUUGCACGCAAUUUCGCCCGUUACCUUUGAAAACCGACCAAUCAAAUCCCUCAACUCUUAUUUGGAUGGUCCAUCUAGUCUCAUGUCGUACAUGAUUUCCAUGCAAGUAUACCAAGUUAGCUACAUUUCUCUUCAUCAUACCAGCCAUGCACACACAUGUAAAGCUGACGAAAUAGUAGUAUCGAUAGUCCCGAGUUGUUUUGACUUCCCACCCACUCCGUCUCUAGUUUUGAUUGAUUUUAGCAAGUUGGCAUCAUUGUCUGUUUUUAGGUUCCACAUAUGGAAACAAGGUCCAUAGUGAUCUAACCGCCUAAUAUGAAAAGAUAGCUCUCCUCCUAUAGCUGACAAUCUCACCCUAGUUACAAACCUUAGUAGUGGGUUGGGGCUCACAUAGGAGGUGCUCAAGGGAAUGGAUGGGCCAAUAAAGGAUUGCAAGCAAUUCCUUGGGCUCAAUUUCGACCGUUAUCUUUCAAAACCGGCCAAUCAAGUCCCUAAACUAUUGCUUAUAUGGUCAUUCUAGUCUCUUAUUGUAUGCGGCUUCCAUGCAUGUAUACCAAGGUAGCUACAUUUUCUCUUCCCCGCACCAACCAUGAGCACACUUUGUCAAGUGUACAAUAGCUGUAUCAGCUAUUUCGACUUGACUUUUCACCCACUCGGUCCCUGGGCUGCUCUACUUAUGAUUGAUUUUAGGAGCCUCUUGUCAUUGUCUCUCUUUUGGUUUCAUCUACGGCAACAAUAUCCAGAGUGAUGUUUAACUAUGGCGAACUAAAAUUAUCUUUAUAAUUGAUAUAUAAAUAUAUCCGAUGAUGCAUGUUUACGUUCAGGUCCUCCAAGUUUGGUUUUGCCCCAGGCCCUUGAAAACUCAGGGGCAGCACUGUGUGCGUGAUGACUCAUACUCCCUCCAUCCCAAAUUACUAUUCAUUUUAGGUUUUAUAGAUACGUAACGUUUGCUAUGCACUUAGAUAUAUAUUAUAUCUAGAUACGUCACAAAAACUAUGUAUCUAGAAAAACCAAACAAAUAGUAAUUUUGGACGGAGAGAGUAGAAGACGCAAUGCUGAGAUUACACUCGACCGGAUGGGAACAUCCUCUCGGUCAAUCUGCUCCCCUCCAUGUGCGCGGACCCCAUGACACCCUUAUCUCUAUCCUCCCUCCCUCCUCCCAUUCACUCUCUUUUCCCCUCCUCAUUCCCCCACCAACGUGGCGCGGAGCCUGCUUCCUC